Podarcis lilfordi (Lilford's wall lizard) is the source of this 84-nucleotide non-coding RNA. The record is from the annotation of a GenBank genome assembly. NCBI's taxonomy places the organism in Eukaryota, Metazoa, Chordata, Lepidosauria, Squamata, Lacertidae.
AUGGUUUAAAGACAGAGUGGGGAGAGGCUCACUAUUUGCAAACCAGCAAAUAGUGAGCCUCUCCCAACUCUGUCUUUAAACCAU